GAACCUUCAGAUUUCAGAUUUGAUUAGGGUUUUAGCGUCUUCGGACCAGGCUUCAUUCCCCCCAAUUGUUGCUCCCUGUUUACUCCAUAUUUCUUCCUUCUUUUCAAAUAAGGGUUUCAGAUCCAGUGAAUGAACCCUUGUUAAAGGUUUGAUCUCUUACCUUACUUUCUCAGAUUCAUUUACAUGCGUUAUUGAUUGUUUGCAUGGAAAGAAAUAGUUUUCUUUUUUAAAUAGGUCUUUGGGGACCGAUAGAAAAAAAAAGUUUUCAGGUAUUUGCAGAUUGGUGUAAUGAUGAAAAAAUCUGACUUUCUUUCUCCUCUUGGAAUCUGAAAAGUUUCAUCAUGACAAACUUUUUAUACAUGUGUUUGUAUUUUUGAACUUUUCUACAUUGCUAUGAUUUUGCUAUGAUUGUUUCCUUUUGGAUCUUCAUGGUAUUGAAUGAUGAUGACGAUGAUAGUUUUUAUUCAGAUCUGUUUGUUUCUUAGCACACUAGAUCUAUAUUUGUGACACAAACUANGGGUUUCAUGAUUCUAUAAUUAUGAUUUCUG
Molecule: non-coding RNA, 548 nt
Filed under: Arabidopsis thaliana (thale cress)
Lineage: Eukaryota; Viridiplantae; Streptophyta; Magnoliopsida; Brassicales; Brassicaceae
Source: RNAcentral